UACGAAGGGCCCGAGCGUUAAUCGGAAUCACUGGGCUUAAAGGGUGCGCAGGCGGACCUGUAAGUGUCUUGUGAAAUCCCACGGCUCAACCGUGGAAUUGCUUGGCAAACUACAGGUCUUGAGCCCGACAGAGGUCGUCGGAACGCUAGGUGGAGCGGUGAAAUGCGUAGAUAUCUAGCGGAACGCCAAAGGUGAAGACAGGCGACUGGGUCGGCGCUGACGCUCAGGCACGAAAGCAUGGGUAGCGAACGGG
RNAcentral lists this unclassified non-coding RNA (253 nucleotides) under uncultured Phycisphaeraceae bacterium. Its description in RNAcentral is "contains 16S-23S intergenic spacer region". It matches the Rfam family "Bacterial small subunit ribosomal RNA", at positions 524 to 776 of the family's 1533-position model. Lineage: Bacteria; Pseudomonadati; Planctomycetota; Phycisphaerae; Phycisphaerales; Phycisphaeraceae. The record is from RNAcentral.